RNAcentral lists this transfer RNA (87 nucleotides) under Pararhodospirillum oryzae. RNAcentral describes it as "Rhodospirillum oryzae tRNA". It matches the Rfam family "tRNA". Rfam says of the family: Transfer RNA (tRNA) molecules are approximately 80 nucleotides in length. Their secondary structure includes four short double-helical elements and three loops (D, anti-codon, and T loops). RNAcentral also lists the same sequence under 1 other name. Lineage: Bacteria; Pseudomonadati; Pseudomonadota; Alphaproteobacteria; Rhodospirillales; Rhodospirillaceae. The record is from Rfam by way of RNAcentral.
GGAGAGGUGCCGGAGUGGUCGAUCGGGGCGGUCUCGAAAACCGUUGUGGCAGCGAUGUCACCGUGGGUUCGAAUCCCACCCUCUCCG